RNAcentral lists this unclassified non-coding RNA (569 nucleotides) under Hevea brasiliensis (rubber tree). Lineage: Eukaryota; Viridiplantae; Streptophyta; Magnoliopsida; Malpighiales; Euphorbiaceae. The record is from RNAcentral.
AAGCCAAUCCAAACAGACACUCAGAAAUAUGCAGUUGAAGAUUGAUGAGUUAAGUAAACAGAAGCAGCACGGUUCACAAAUAUCCAAUGCUAUAGGAUUUCAACAUUACUAAUCUUGUGCUUUGCAAAACACAUGUACUAGACAAAAUCACAGACCCCCUACAAUAGUCUACUGCAGCACCUUAAACAAAAUAUAGCGUGCUUGCAGAUUUUCAUACACCACGAUGCCUCUCCUCAUCAAGUAGUCCGGAGUGGAGGAGACACCAGAAUCACACCAUCUCCACGAACAAAUAGGAACGGGAUGGUCCGUCUCGUCGCCCGAACUAUCUCUUCAUAUGUUUCAUCAUCAAUCUCAACUGUGGUCACAAUUUCUUCAACAUCACCGAGAAUCAUAUUAAGAUGCUGAUCAUAAGCAUGAAGUUUGCCACGGAGUUCUCUGUCGGAGCGGAGCUUAACGUAGAUUCUCUCGUCGAGACUAAGCCUUAUGAGAUCCAAUGGCUCCUUCACUGUGCUCUCCUCUUCACUUCCCAUGGCGCUUUCUGUCUUUCUCUCUCUAAAAUUUCAAAUGCG